UACGAAGGGGGCUAGCGUUGCUCGGAAUCACUGGGCGUAAAGGGCGCGUAGGCGGCCGAUUAAGUCGGGGGUGAAAGCCUGUGGCUCAACCACAGAAUUGCCUUUCGAUACUGGUUGGCUUGAGACCGGAAGAGGACAGCGGAACUGCGAGUGUAGAGGUGAAAUUCGUAGAUAUUCGCAAGAACACCAGUGGCGAAGGCGGCUGUCUGGUCCGGUUCUGACGGCUGAGGCGCGACAGCGUGGGGAGCAAACAGG
This 255-nucleotide ribosomal RNA is filed under the name uncultured bacterium. RNAcentral describes it as "partial 16S ribosomal RNA". It matches the Rfam family "Bacterial small subunit ribosomal RNA", at positions 524 to 776 of the family's 1533-position model. The record is from RNAcentral.